AACGCGAAGAACCUUACCUGGGCUUGAACCGCACAGGACCAGCUUGAGAAAUCAGGCCUUCCCGCAAGGGACCUGUGUAGAGGUGCUGCAUGGCUGUCGUCAGCUCGUGCCGUGAGGUGUUGGGUUAAGUCCCGCAACGAGCGCAACCCUUACCCUUAGUUGCUACCCGCAAGGGAGAACUCUAAGGGGACUGCUCCGGAUAACGGAGAGGAAGGCGGGGAUGAGGUCAAGUCAGCAUGGCCUUUAUGUCCAGGGCUACACACGUGUUACAAUGCAUGGUACAGACUGUCGCGAUCCCGCGAGGGGGAGCUAACCGGAAAAAACCAUGCUCAGUUCGGAUUGCAGUCUGCAACUCGACUGCAUGAAGCCGGAAUCGCUAGUAAUGGCGUAUCAGAACGACGCCGUGAAUACGUUCCCGGGCCUUGUACACACCGCAUAC
RNAcentral lists this ribosomal RNA (439 nucleotides) under uncultured bacterium. RNAcentral's name for it is "bacterial SSU rRNA". It matches the Rfam family "Bacterial small subunit ribosomal RNA", at positions 958 to 1397 of the family's 1533-position model. The record is from RNAcentral.